CCUACGGGUGGCAGCAGUGGGGAAUAUUGGGCAAUGGGCGAAAGCCUGACCCAGCAACGCCGCGUGAAGGAAGAAGGCUUUCGGGUUGUAAACUUCUUUUGACGGGGAAGAGCAGAAGACGGUACCUGUCGAAUAAGCCACGGCUAACUACGUGCCAGCCGCCGCGGUAAGACGUAGGUGGCAAGCGUUGUCCGGAAUUACUGGGUGUAAAGGGUGUGUAGCCGGGCUGACAAGUCAGAUGUGAAAUCCGGGGGCUCAACCCCCGGACUGCAUAUGAAACUGUUGGACUUGAGUAACGGAGAGGCAUGCGGAAGUCCUGGUGUAGCAGUGAAAUGCGUAGAUAUUGGGAGGAACACUAGUGGCGAAGGCGGGUUGCUGGACAUCAACUGACGGUGAGGCGCGAAAGCCAGGGGAGCGAACGGGAUUAGAUACCCGAGUAGUC
This 442-nucleotide ribosomal RNA is filed under the name uncultured bacterium. RNAcentral describes it as "partial 16S ribosomal RNA". It matches the Rfam family "Bacterial small subunit ribosomal RNA", at positions 338 to 795 of the family's 1533-position model. The record is from RNAcentral.